UACCAUGGUGGUAACGGGUAACGGGGUGUUAGGGCACGACACCGGAGAGGGAGCCUGAGAAACGGCUACCACAUCCAAGGAUGGCAGCAGGCGCGCAAAUUACCCAAUCCCGACACGGGGAGGUAGUGACAAUAAAUAACAAUACGGGGUUCUUUAGGAUCUCGUGAUUGGAAUGAGUACAAUUUAAAUCUCUUAACGAGGAACAAUUGGAGGGCAAGUCUGGUGCCUGCAGCCGCGGUAAUUCCAGCUCCAAUAGCGUAUAUUAAAGUUGUUGCAGUUAAAAAGCUCGUAGUUGAAUUUCGGGGUCAGUAGGUCGGUCGUGCCACUGGUAUGAACUGGUUUUACUGAUUCCUCCCUCUUGAAGAACUGUAAUGCCAUUAAUUUGGUGUUGCAGGGAAUCAGGACUGUUACUUUGAAAAAAUUAGAGUGUUUAAAGCAGGCUUUAGCUUGAAUACAUUAGCAUGGAAUAAUGAAGUAGGACGUUUGAUCCUAUUUUGUUGGUUUCUAGGAUUGACGUAAUGAUUAAUAGGGAUAGUUGGGGGCAUUAGUAUUCAAUUGUCAGAGGUGAAAUUCUUGUAUUUAUUGAAGACUAACUACUGCGAAAGCAUUUGCCAAGGAUGUUUUCAUUAAUCAAGAACGAAAGUUAGGGGAUCGAAGACGAUCAGAUACCGUCGUAGUCUUAACCAUAAACUAUGCCGACUAGGGAUCGGAUGAUGUUAAUUUUUUAAUGACUCAUUCGGCGCCUUACGGGAAACCAAAGUGUUU
Molecule: ribosomal RNA, 765 nt
Filed under: uncultured Glomus
Lineage: Eukaryota; Fungi; Glomeromycota; Glomeromycetes; Glomerales; Glomeraceae
Description: SSU rRNA
Rfam family: Eukaryotic small subunit ribosomal RNA
Source: RNAcentral